GCGCUGGGUUGUGGUAAGACCAAGGCUUGUCCAAUUCCUGUCAACUCCAAGGAUGUGGAAGAAAUUUCGUGUGAGACAAGUGAGUCUGCGGAGAUGUUUAAAACCCAGGACCCUGGUGCCUUCACUUAGACGAAUCUAAGUUCUCGUUCUACGUCACACUCCACACGUAGUGACAGAGAGCCACACGGCCAGGUGAAAGCGCACACACAUCCAGCGUGCACACACACUCUCCGUGGAAGCCUUCCUCAUCCUGUCCUUCCCUCAGCACUGGAGUCCGAGACUUCCCAGAGGAACAGAACAGGACCAGUUGGAGUGAAGAGGUCGUCGAAGUCACCAGAGGGCUGGACUGGGAACAGAGCAAAGGGCCAACCAGGCGCCGUGGACACAACCGAAGGCAGAUGACCGCAUGGACACGUUCCUUCAGGUAAAUCCUCCUGAAACUUGUACCAACUAGUUUUUGACUGACAGCGAGCAGCGAGAGACUUUUCUUCACUCUGAGAGAACCAACCCAAACACCGAUCUUUCCCAAGGCGACCUGUAUCACCAGGACCAUUUCUUUGCCAGGUCACCGCCUGCCUUCUAGCCAGGAGCCCGGGGCAUCCCUGCAGCUAUCGUUCGCUCCUCCAAUGAAUAUGUCAUCCGGCCGCACUGGGGCCACCUCUGCAGACUACCGUUGGCGUGGGAUGGCGAGGUGUCAUUCGCUCCAAGAACAUGUUACAGUGUUCGUGUUCUUCCUGGCUCUGAGUUAUACCUUCGGGACCUGCGUCAUCCCUACAGGGGGCUGUCGUUCACCCAUAAAACCCAAAGUCCCGGGCUGGAAUUUCUCGUGGGCCAAAGGCUCUGCUGUUCAUCCACCAUGGAAGUGGGUGAGGAAGGCUCCAUUACCCAGCUUUGGCCAUCCCGUGAGCAUGCCGCCCAAGGUUGGACUGCACACCCCGUCCCAGGUCCUUCCUGCAGAGCCGGGCCCCCUGGUCACUGCCCCAGAUCUCCAGGACCUUCGGUUGAGCUGGGUCCCAGCACCUGGACUCAAGGUAAGGCCCCCAGAGUGGUUCCCGCUGGCCACCCAGGGUGCCACGGAGGGAAGGGAAAAAUAAAACAUCCAAACCUCAAAAGACUAGGGAAUUUCUGGAAGGUCCAACCAAAAUGAUUCAUCGUGACCUCAGGCAUGAUUUUUUUUCCCCCUACUCUCCACUCUUUUCCAUUUCAACUAAUAUGUAUCUUACUGAUUUGAAGAAAACUCCCGUGUUUGAAACUUCUAGUGCUUAAAUGUGGGUAGGCACUACGCUAUGGGACUGCAAAUAAAAGACAGUAUUUAACCUCGUGAGGAAAAAGAGUGAUGAAUACUUGUACCCUAUGCUGUAGAGACUGAAGCCCCAGUUUAUUUUCCUGAACGAAGGCUUUGGGUAUACAACUAUCAGUAAAGAACAGGCAUGCUUCUAAAAAUAGCAGUUAGCUCUUAAUUCAGAUUAAAUUCACAAAUAAAUAACUUGCAGCAUUAGCACUGAUGUUUGAGCCUUAAAGACCUUGAUUUCAAUGGCAAGGUGUCUAACAAAUGCAGCUGUUUGAACAAGCACAUACGGAGGCUUACUUCUUCCAAUAUCGUGUAUUGUAUUAUCCACAAACCGCAUGGCUUGUGAAGAGGGGGAAGGUAUUUAAAAUAUUAAGUGAUGAUAGCUAGCUAGUAGUCUAGUUAUCCUUACUGACUGUCCGAUUGAUAGCAUUUUACCUUGGGCUUUUAGGAUCUGCUUCAGGCCUGGUUAACUCUAAGUCACAAUUUUUGGGAGUGAGAAAGAUCCUACAUAGACUGCUGUAAGUUCAUCUUAGCUCUGAGAGAUGACUCAUAUGUGUAUAACUCUAUUUCAUAUACCUACCUAUUCAUUCUAAUAUUUGGAAAGCUUCUUCCCUUCCCUUCCUUUCCAUUCCUUCCUUUUCUUUCUUUCCUUCCUUCCUUCCUUCCUUCCUUCCUUCCUUCCUUCCUUCUUUCCUUCCUUGGCGUCUUUUAACCAGUGUCUCCCCCUUUUCCCCGAUAUUGACAAAUCAAUUUCCCCAGCUUGCAAAUAACUAGAACCCCUUGGUCUCUAAGAAUUUUCUUGUCAGUCUGUUCCAAUGUCCUAUCGACAACUUGUCAAUUACCCGUGACACCUGAGAUUUCUCCCAGCAGAACUUAGGCUGUGUAUGUUCACAGGGCGAUUAAUCUUUAAAACCACGAUGGUCCUGGAGACCAAGGGCCUAGUCAGCCCAGAGCCGUCUUAGCUGUGCAGCUGACACCGAGAGUCACACAUUCAAUGUACACGUUAAAGAAGUAAACCGAGUUUCAGAUUUUCGCGUUUUCUCUGCUGUUCACCGGCUGCCCAUGCCGGAGAGAGCUUGGAGGCCAUUUCGCCCAACCCUUUCAUUUUACAGAUGAGGAAAACAGGCCUAAUUGAUAGCUGGCGAUACUAAAUUAUAGCCCUUCUAAAACUCAAUAGCAGAGUUAGUAGGCUUCUUAAUGUGCUCAAUUACCGUAUGGAUUCCACGAGCCGAUGAGCGCGCCGUGACCUUGAGAAUUUACAUUCUGCGGGUUUUCGAUGUUUAUGUUUCUACCGUGGUAUUUGUAAUCCCAAGUCCCGGUCACCUUUUACCAAUGAGGCCUCGCCGGUCCCCGGCUCCGGGCACCUCUCCUCUUCUGUACUCGGCCGGGGCUCCCAGGUACUCAGCAUCGACAUCUGCGAAGUCAUAGCAGGUGUAGCCAAGAGACCGGGUCCUGCGGCUGUUUAGACUCCUUCCUCUCUCGUCUCGUCUCCUGGCUUCUCGAGAGCUAGCUCCAGUUUCUUCCACAUCUUUCCACCCUGCUCACAUUUCCCCAAAGGACCACACUUAGUCCGUUCCCUGGACCAAGGGCACAGUUCAGCAGCGUUCAUCUUCUACUGCUCAGUAUUUUCCCACAACGUUUCCUACCUUCCUUCCCCUCCCCCUCAGCUGGAACAGAAGCUUCGUGAGAACAAGCAUCUGCUUGUACCGUGGUGUCCCCAGUGUUUGAGAGAGUCCGGAAAAUAGUAGGUGCUCAAUAAGUACAUGAGCAGUGGGUAUAACCUUUCCGCUUUCCCUUCUUUCUUAGGGAAACAGGGGUCCCCCCCUCCUUUCCAGGACCCACCCCUGGGAGCAGCAGUGCCUCCUGUCCACCCUCAAAUCUUCAACUCCUAGAUCAUGUCCUACUUCCUGAAACCUCAUUUCCCUGGUUGUCCACUCUGAUGAACUACACGGUUGCCCAACCCUCUGGCUGCUCUUGCCCAGCUGCAUUGCCGAAAAGUCCUCCAGUCCUCCCCAGUGCGGCCCGCCUCCUAGCUUCAGGCCUCAGCUUCCUUCUGCCGUUGGUAUUUUUCCUUGGUACAGAUCUCGUUGACUCAUGCGGUUCACGUCUGCUCCCGGGCGGCGAUUCCCAAAUCUUCACCACCAGCCCCAAAUUCACUUCCUAGAGAAGAACGCUUCAAAGCAAACGAGGAGAGCCAAUCUCACGGCGUUGCCUUCAAUACUCUGUCUUUCAAGCCUUCUUCUUCAUCCAGGGACAAAGCAGCUCCUGUUCCCCUGCCACCACCUCACAUCUAACAGGAUGAAGGCGAUGUCCUCAAGGAGCCCCCAAGCCCUGCGAGGUGUGGCUCGGCCCCGAGCUCCUGCCUGACUCUGCUCCACUCCCCUACUCCCUGGAAGGUGCAAGCUCCGUGCCACCCGGGGCCUUUACAGACACCGUGUGUCCCUCUGGCCAGAACGCUCCUCUCACUCCAGGCCCGCCUACCUACCUGCCGAGGGCUCCUCAGUCUUUAUGUCUCCACCUUAACGCCAGGGAAGCCUUCCCGGGACCCCAGACUAGGAUGUAUGACACAGCCCGGGUUCGAUUCUCCCAUCCGUUCCUGAAUUUCUCCCUAAGGCUUCCCACAAAUACCUUUAAACCUUCCUCUCCUGGUUUAUCUAAUCCCUCCCUUCCCUGCUCUACCAUCAACUGCCUGAAAGCAAGAACCGUGCUGGUCUCGGAUUCCCUGCUGGAUCUCCGGCACCCGGUGCCGAGCCUAGCACAUAACAGGUGCUCGGUGAUCUCUUGGCGUUCAGAUGAAGGAACGAGUAAUGAAAUCCCUUCAGACUUUCCACCUUUAAAAUGUUUUUGAAGUGUAUGUCUCUAAAGGUUGCUGUUUGCGGGGGUGGGGGGGGAGCAAUGGUUUUUUAUUCAUUGACAAGAACUUGCUAUAAUCAAAGUAAGAACCCUCCGCUGUCGUCUGUGUGAACCAGAAUUUCCUUUUGGUACGUCCUAUUCCGUACAUUUUGUUUAUUGCAAGCACCUAAUGAUAAUAGCUCUUAUAUAAUAAUUAGUGUGAGCAGGCAGCACGCUAUGGUGCUUUAUGUACUACAACCUCACACGGCCCCAUCAUGUGUAAGAAUUUUCAGUGUCACCAUUCCGCACAUGAGAAACUGAGCCCAGAGGGGUUAAGUAAGCUGUCGAAAGUCACACAGCUACUAUUAACGGAAGCAGGACCCUGUACUCUUAACCUUUAUGCUGUUUAUGAAGAAAGGCUUUUUUUUUUUUUUUUUUUUUUUAAGCCCAGAGGAGGUAAUGUUCAACCUGGCUUUUAAAGAACAGGUGGAAAUUAACCCGAGAAGGGGAGAAUGAGAACCUUCAGGAAGGAGUGGCAGGCGGGAGACAGGAGCCCCGAGGGCACUGAACUCGGGGGAAGAGGCCACGAUGCACCCAGGCCACAUCCUGAAGGGAAGAAAGGUGAAGUGAGAGCAGAGCUGGAGUCUUUAGUUUUGCAAAGGUGAAUCACCCCCCGGGCCAUUAAUCAUCAAUUGAUAGAGACCAACAAUUCCAAAUUUAUUCUAAACAGAAGAAAAAGUAGUCAGCGUGCAGCCGGAAAAACAAGGCAGCCUGAAAUCGGUAUGUAGAUUUACAACGUGAGACGCUUUUUUAUAUCUCUAUGCCUUCAUUAUAGUAAAAAUAUUACAUGUGUGAGGCGAGGAAAAUGGGAGGGGUUAAAGGUGGUGGAUCCAGAGUCUGAGGGAGUGAGAGACUCGUUAAGGGGCAAACCAACGUGAAAUUUUGCAAACUAUGUAAUGACGCAUUGUAACAACAACGAGGUGCUCUGCGAACAGUGCUGAGAUGAAGGUUACGGAAAACGAACCGGCCUGGCUGGCUUCCCAUUUUUUUUUUCCUUCCACUUUUAAUGCUCCAGCCAUGCUCAGCUUGAGUUUUAUUAAACAGAAUACGCCAGAUAAAAGAUUUGUUUCUCUACGAGUACUGUCUGCAAAAGCAGACGCGUUCAUUCUAAUGUGUUCCAGGUUACGGUCAGACAAACCCAAACGCUCUGCAUUCUAUUCUCUUUGGCUAAAAUCUGAAGGGGACCCUGUUGAGCCGCCUUCUCUGUGUUAUGUUUGAGCUCAUCCAGACAAGAAUAGUGAGAAUCCCCGAGUUAAAGAAACCUCUUCCCCGAAGAGAAAACCGGGGGCAGUGCGUUAGGGAGGCUAACGCAGUACAAUUCGUCUUGGUUGGUUGUUUUUUUUUUCCCCCCAGACAUAAAUUUUCCUGUUUUACCAGUCAUUCCACAACAAUGCACAUCCAAGCCAUGCUGUGAUUAGAGGGGAGCGUAUGCCUAUUACCCAAGUUCUUCACAUGUCGGAGCACGGAGAGACGAACGGUGGGAAUACAGAAUGAAGUAUCAGGACGGACAAAUUGAAAACUCUCAAAGUUGGACUCAACGGAGUGCUAAGUUUUUAGAAGGAAUCAGCGGUGGGCUACGUAGGAGGGGGAAAAUCAUUCCUUCAUGCUUUAAAAAAUCAGUACUUAUCACCGGCCCACGAGGUGGAUGGCACUCAUCUACGAGCACGGUGGAGACUGGACAUCUCUGGAAACUAACAACCUGAUGUUCUCCGCGCCUGUGUGCAAGUGUUAUUUUAGAACGUUCAGGGAGAGUGAGGGGAUAAGGGUCUUCAUCAAGGAGGGAAAAGCCCAUCGCUCUCAUUCCACCCGCAUAUCGCAGUGUGGUCGCUUUCAACUGUGCGCUCCUGGAACACCAGCGUCACCUGGGAGAUUGUUGGAUGCGCACAUGCUCGGGCUCCAUCCCAAAGCUACUGAAACCGGAAACUCUGACCCCUCCAGGUGAUUCUGACGCAGCUAAAGCUGGAGCACUUUCGUCAAGGUGGCAGAGAGGGCAGGCACGGGAGCUUCACAGGGGCACUACUGCCUCAUGUCAGCUGUUGGGAACUUGGAACACAAACGCUACACACCAUAAGCAAUAAAUGACUUCAUUCCAUGUGUGCGUUAUUGGCUUGAAGUAGAGAGGGAUGUUGACCUCUCCGUUCAGUAGUUUCAAGGACUACACUUUAGUAAAGAUAUCACCCUGCUAAGAUUGCGUUCCCAGCCCACAUGUCGGAACAAGAUAACGAAAACCGGAGAAAUAUACACAAUUUCCAGAGACUAAAGAAGACUCUAAUGGUUUGUAUGGAAUAUUGCCUGUUUGUGGGAUGAGAAGAGGGGACGUUAGGGGAGCAUAUCUUGUAUCACUCUUUCCAUCCUUAGCUUUUGGAAACCGCUGUUGUUUCUUAACGCGUCAGAAGUGAAGCCAGGUAGAUUGCAGAACCACUAGGGGAAAAAUACCUAAGGCCGUGACAUAAAAUUAUGUGGAAUGAGUGUGUGUCUGGACCCCGAAGUCAGUUUCGAGGACGACGUCUGCUGCAGAAUACAAUGCUGUCAGUUGGGCGCCCAUGAUGAAACGCGAAUGGUGAAGCAUACGGGUCAGAUGGAUGGGUGCAAAGGAGGAGACGCAGGAUCUUCACAGAUGACGGUUACGGGUGACAAUAGGGGCAGUGAUGCAGAGAGCGUAGUGAGAAUCGAGUGUGCAAGGGGCCGUACGGGUCGGUAACCGGGGCCACUGACGUGAGGACAGGGUACGUCUGGUAACUGUUCACAGUACCCGGCGGCCCAGAGAGGAAGUGGGAGGCAUACGGGCACCCCUGCGUGUGAGACGGACAGAAAGGUGGGGAGGUCUGCAGACAGCUACCUUCGGAAGAAGCAAUCCAGAAGAGAAGGAUGCAAAAGAGCCUUUCGAAGUGCGAACAGGUUACGUUACACUUUGGAGGUUGAAGGGGCACGUGUGGUGUAUGGACAAGGGCUCCGGUCUAGUUUUUAAAGGCUUUGGACUUUGUUC
RNA transcript from Lynx canadensis (Canada lynx), 7169 nucleotides. It is a transcript of the gene named potassium inwardly rectifying channel subfamily J member 15, with no coding region annotated. The transcript is spliced from 9 exons. The record is from RefSeq and is a predicted model, not a curated record. NCBI's taxonomy places the organism in Eukaryota, Metazoa, Chordata, Mammalia, Carnivora, Felidae.